AGUGAACGCUGGCGGUAGGCCUAACACAUGCAAGUCGAACGGCAGCACAGUAAGAGCUUGCUCUUACGGGUGGCGAGUGGCGGACGGGUGAGGAAUACAUCGGAAUCUACUUUUUCGUGGGGGAUAACGUAGGGAAACUUACGCUAAUACCGCAUACGACCUACGGGUGAAAGCAGGGGAUCUUCGGACCUUGCGCGAUUGAAUGAGCCGAUGUCGGAUUAGCUAUUUGGCGGGGUAAAGGCCCACCAAGGCGACGAACCGUAGCUGGUCUGAGAGGAUGACCAGCCACCCUGGACCUGAGCCACGGUCCAGCCUCCUCCGGGAGGCAGCAGUGGGGAAUAUUGGACAAUGGGCGCAAGCCUGAUCCAGCCAUACCGCGUGGGUGAAGAAGGCCUUCGGGUUGUAAAGCCCUUUUGUUGGGAAAGAAAAGCAGCAGGUUAAUACCCCGCUGUUCUGACGGUACCAAAAGAAUAAGCACCGGCUAACUUCGUG
RNAcentral lists this ribosomal RNA (492 nucleotides) under uncultured bacterium. RNAcentral describes it as "partial 16S ribosomal RNA". It matches the Rfam family "Bacterial small subunit ribosomal RNA", at positions 29 to 507 of the family's 1533-position model. The record is from RNAcentral.